RNAcentral lists this ribosomal RNA (497 nucleotides) under uncultured bacterium. RNAcentral describes it as "partial 16S ribosomal RNA". It matches the Rfam family "Bacterial small subunit ribosomal RNA", at positions 28 to 507 of the family's 1533-position model. The record is from RNAcentral.
GAUGAACGCUGGCGGCGUGCCUAAUACAUGCGAGUCGAGCGAACAGACGAGGAGCUUGCUCCUCUGACGUUAGCGGCGGACGGGUGAGUAACACGUGGAUAACCUACCUAUAAGACUGGGAUAACUUCGGGAAACCGGAGCUAAUACCGGAUAAUAUAUUGAACCGCAUGGUUCAAUAGUGAAAGACGGUUUUGCUGUCACUUAUAGAUGGAUCCGCGCCGCAUUAGCUAGUUGGUAAGGUAACGGCUUACCAAGGCAACGAUGCGUAGCCGACCUGAGAGGGUGAUCGGCCACACUGGAACUGAGACACGGUCCAGACUCCUACGGGAGGCAGCAGUAGGGAAUCUUCCGCAAUGGGCGAAAGCCUGACGGAGCAACGCCGCGUGAGUGUUGAAGGUCUUCGGAUCGUAAAACUCUGUUAUUAGGGAAGAACAAAUGUGUAAGUAACUAUGCACGUCUUGACGGUACCUAAUCAGAAAGCCACGGCUAACUACGUG